CCUGAGAAACCUAAAAGUUCGAAAAGAGAGAUUCAACGUCAGUAUGUAUUGUAUUCACGUGAGUAGUGAUGUGCGCACAUUUUCAUGUUAUUUUAUUGCAAUACUAUUGCCGGCGUGCACUUCUCUCUUAGUAGGACGUCCCGACCCGUUGAGUCUUGGCCUACGGCUUAGACUUUAAUAUUUUACGAUAUUAAAGACCUCUGAUAUUAAAGACCUCUGAUGUAUUCCUGGCUAAAGUACUCGACGGGGUGUUGAGCCGCAUUUUUUAAAUGCGUCCAUGCGUCCGGCCUGUCGCAAGUAAUUGAUAUACCGUAUUACUAUAGACUUAGUGCUAUGUAUAUGGACUGUGCUUUAGGACUGGCUUAUUCAUCUGUCAGGGACGCUUAGGCUUUGGGUACUCUCAGGACCCGUCUUGAAACACGGACCAAGGAGUCUAACAUGUACGCGAGUCAUUGGGUAUAUAUUUUCCAAACCUAAAGGCGUAAUGAAAGUAAAGGUUGAA
Molecule: ribosomal RNA, 502 nt
Filed under: Neothlipsis sp. H1281
Lineage: Eukaryota; Metazoa; Arthropoda; Insecta; Hymenoptera; Braconidae
Also listed under: 1 other name
Description: eukaryotic LSU rRNA
Rfam family: Eukaryotic large subunit ribosomal RNA
Source: RNAcentral